UUUAAAAUGAGAGUUUGAUCCUGGCUCAGGACGAACGCUGGCGGCGUGCCUAAUACAUGCAAGUCGAACGAAACU
Molecule: ribosomal RNA, 75 nt
Filed under: Ligilactobacillus salivarius
Lineage: Bacteria; Bacillati; Bacillota; Bacilli; Lactobacillales; Lactobacillaceae
Description: partial 16S ribosomal RNA
Rfam family: Bacterial small subunit ribosomal RNA
Source: RNAcentral